AUGAGAUGUUAGUUGGUACAGGGAGGGGUUUCCAGGACCCGCACGCCCUUGCGGAGUGCCUGCUGGAGGGAGCCGGUGUGUCCAGGACACCCUUGCGGAGUGUCUGCUGGAGGGAGCCAGUGUGUCAGUGAGAUGGCUAUGCCCCUGGGCUGCUGUGUCCCAGGUUUCCUCAGUCUCUAACCCUUUGUUCUCACAGGGGAUGGACUCUUGCUUCUUUUCCCAACUCCACCAAGAGGGACCGUCCCAGGACGUCCUUCCCCGGGCAUCUGGCCCUACAGCUGCCUGAGGUCUCCAUCACCGUUGGCGCCAUCAGUCUGCUGUGCAGCCAGCUGUUGGUUUGGAGAGCCUGAAGAACUGCAGUUCACGUCUCAUCUAAAGGAGCUGAAAUGAUAUUGCAGCUUUUUCUUUUGGUUGCGUGCAGUGAGAAUCUGGGAGCUGAACCUGUUAUCUGCAUGGUCUUCAGAAAUCAGGCAAACUCGGAAAAUGCCAACGCCAAAAAUGCUGAUGGGUGACAAAGUGUCACAGGUGUGAUGCAUUACAAAUCUCAGGACUUUUGUUCACUGGAUUUGAAAGGUCAAGCUUCACAGGAAAAUGAUGAAGUCCCAAAAGACCAGAAAUAUAUUUCAGAAGAUGCCAGUUACUACUUUAAAUGUCAAACCAACAUUUCAGAAAUAACUUUCAAUGAUUAUUUCCUGCCAAGAAGGUGAACGCUGGAGACCUUAAUGGUGGAAGAUGGAGGGCGUCUUUCCUUCUGUUAAGCUGACAACUUGGCUUCCAUCUUGUGAGGACCUCACCCUACCUGGUGGCAGAGGACGUCUGACGCCCUCAAUCAUUGCCGUUACACUUCCCAGCCUGGUGGUCAGUCUCCUGGGGUCUGUGUGUUAACAAACCAUCGACUGGACAAUCGCAGUUUUCCUUAUGAAGGCUUACUUUAAAAAGGCUCUGGAUUUUCAGAAGCGAAGUCGCUUUCAUCCCCGAUUCAGACCCAUCCUAGUGGAGGAAAAAUCCUACCAGAAGAAGGGCUGACCAUAGGAACUUGCCAUUUCCUUGACCCCAUCAUAUCUGAGGAAAAAACAACAGAAAAGGUCAAAACCCACGUGUACGCCCAACGUCCUGAUUGACGACUUUGCCUGCAGCUUCUGCUUUCCUGAAAUUCGCUGCUGCCUUUAGAACCCUUGUCUGCAGCCAGUGGGGAGUUCAGGACUUAGGCGGAGCUGCCCCACCCUCCUGCUUGGCACCCUGCAAAUACAUGCCCUCCCUUCCAUCGCUGCAGACCUCAGAGUGGGCGUCCGGUCUCCUGUGCGGGAUGAGAAUACACACCCUCCCUUCCAUCGCUGCAGACCUUAGAGUGGAUGUCCGGUCUCCUGUAUGGGAUGAGAAUACACGCCUUCCCUUCCAUCGCUGCAGAGUGGACGUCUGGUCUCCUGUGUGGGAUAAUACACGCCCUCCUUUCAAUCGCUGCAGACCUCAGAGUGGACGUCCGGUCUCCUGUGUGGGAUAAUACACGCCCUCCUUUCAAUCGCUGCGGACCUCAGAGUGGAUGUCCGGUCUCCUGUAUGGGAUGAGAUACACUCCUUCCCUUCCACUGCUGCAGACCUCAGAGUGGACGUCCGGUCUCCUGUGUGGGAUGAGAUACACUCCUUCCCUUCCACUGCUGCAGACCUCAGAGUGGACGUCCGGUCUCCUUUGUGGGAUGAGAAUACACUCCUUCCCUUCCAUCACUGCAGACCUCAGAGUGGACGUCCGGUCUCCUGUGCGGGACAAGAAUACACUCCUUCCCUUCCAUCACUGCAGACCUCAGAGUGGACGUCCAGUCUCCUGUGCGGGAUGAGAUACACUCCUUCCCUUCCAUCGCUGCAGACCUCAGAGUGGACGUCCAGUCUCUCUGUGCGGGCCAAGUGUACACAGUUUUGUUCCGUCACAACUUCCACGACAGGCCAGUGUGAGGUUUUUGAGCUGGUGCUGACUGAAAACUGUCAGCUGCCCAAGGACCUGGGAGCUCUGCUCCCCACUCCUGGUGUGCGGUCUUGCGCCUGGCCUCCCUGCCUAGGUUACAUGCAGUGGUCAUCCCGGUCGCUCCCACACCCGUGUGGGCUCUGGGAUCCCCUCUUCCAGCCAGCCCAGGGGACAUCUGGCUGUCUCAGGACCCAGCCAUCUGUAAAAAUUAGGCAGGUCCCUUCAGUAUGCUCCUGGUCAACAAAGAAAAACUUCAAUUUUGAGAAUGGCAUCUGUAUUCCGAAGUGUUCUCUCAGAUGUUUGAGUUCCACUAAGUAGAUUUUCUUAGUCUGCUGUAUCAAUGACACAGAGAGACGUGCAUUAAAACCUCAACCAUGUGGAUCUAUUUCUUUUCAGUUAAUUUUGCUUCAUGUAUCUUGAAGCUCUGUUAUCAGGUGCAUGCACAUUUGGGAUUGUUAUGCUUUCCUGAUGAACUGACCUUCUUUCAUUAUGCAAGGGGAAGAAGAUGCUGCAUACAGGAUGGAAUAUCCAGGGGAAGACGUCUAAGGAGAGAUGCCCAGCUGGGAGUCCUAUGCAAGGGGAAGAAGAUGCUGCAUACAGGAUGGGAUAUCCAGGGGAAGAUUUCUAAGAAGAGAUGCCCAGCUGGGAGUCCUAUGCAAGGGGAAGAAGAUGCUGCAUACAGGAUGGGAUAUCCAGGGGAAGAUUUCUAAGGAGAGACACCCGGCUGGAAGUCAAGAUAUGUCAGUUGUUUCCAUUAUAAUAAAACCACUCAUGUUAGAUGAGCUGAACUUUCCCUUUUCCCCAGUUCUUACGAUCAAAAAGUGGCUGUCCUAAAUUUCAUCACUCAAUAUCCUUGCUAGAGUCUUCCUUUGUCAGCCAGGCUGGAGUGCAAUGUGCAAUGGCACAAUCUUGGCUCACUGCAACCUCUGUCUCCUGGGCUCAAGCAAUUCUUCUGCCUCAGCCUCCUGAGUAGCUGGGAUUACAGGUAUGCACCACCAUGCCCAACUAAUUUUUGUAUUUCAGUAGAGACGAGGUUUCACCAUGUUGGCCAGGCUGGUCUCGAUCUCCUGACCUCAGGUAAUCUGCCCACCUUGGCCUCUCAAAGUGCUGGGAUUACAGACAUGAGCCAUCAUGCCUGGACAUAAGUGAGUUUUAUAUUGUAUUAUAAGACUAUGAUACAGUAAAACCAUGAAAUCCAAAUUUAUAAUAUCACACUACAUAAUACAACUGUAACCUCACCGCCCUAUCCUGGGAUGUGUGUCAUUUUUAUAGCCAAUUAUGGCCCCCAGCUUUAGUUUUCUUUUGCUUAUUGGAGAGUGUAAUUCUCCCUUAUUCUUUUUGCUUUCUACAGUCUUGUGUACAUCAGUUAUCUGUUUUUGUCCUUUUGCCAGUGUUCAAAGUGUUAUUUUUCGUAUUUACUUAAGCUCCUGCAGGGAGAUUAGAAUUUCUUCCCCUAAGAAGAAAUAAGUAAUAGCGGAGACCUGCUGGGCACUGGUGGCGCCAGGCUUGGCUCUGGGGCUGCCCAUCCAUCCUCACAGCAUGGCGACUGGAGGGUCUUGCCCUGAGGUCCCGUGUGCGGAGCAGGGCUUGGCAUUCACUCCUAGGCACUGCUGACUCAGUCUGUCCUGGUGGUGCUGGGAGGCCGAAACCCGUCAUGCAUGUAAACCGCGGGGCCCCGUCUGGCAUGGUGCACCUGUGCUGGGAGUGCCUAUAGAGUAGGAAAAGUAUUCCUGGACCUUUAAAAAACUUAGGCCAAAAAAGUGUUUUGGUUGAAUCUUUGGCCAAAUUGGAACUGCAAACUCUGUAUUAUCUCCCCUUUUGUGAAAUUCUAUGGAAAAUUCGAGCAAAUAAAUAUGCAUUUCCCAGUG
This is a long non-coding RNA of Homo sapiens (human), 3824 nucleotides long. Ensembl annotates it as long intergenic non-protein coding RNA 689. NCBI's taxonomy places the organism in Eukaryota, Metazoa, Chordata, Mammalia, Primates, Hominidae. The record is from Ensembl.